This 468-nucleotide ribosomal RNA is filed under the name uncultured bacterium. RNAcentral's name for it is "partial 16S ribosomal RNA". It matches the Rfam family "Bacterial small subunit ribosomal RNA", at positions 28 to 507 of the family's 1533-position model. The record is from RNAcentral.
GAUGAACGCUGGCGGCGUGCUUAACACAUGCAAGUCGAACGGUGAAGGCGGAGCUUGCUCUGCUGGAUCAGUGGCGAACGGGUGAGUAACACGUGAGCAAUCUGCCCCUGACUCUGGGAUAAGCGCUGGAAACGGCGUCUAAUACUGGAUACGAGCUGCUAAGGCAUCUUCAGCAGCUGGAAAGAAUUUCGGUCAGGGAUGGGCUCGCGGCCUAUCAGCUUGUUGGUGAGGUAAUGGCUCACCAAGGCGUCGACGGGUAGCCGGCCUGAGAGGGUGACCGGCCACACUGGGACUGAGACACGGACCAGACUCCUACGGGAGGCAGCAGUGGGGAAUAUUGCACAAUGGGCGAAAGCCUGAUGCAGCAACGCCGCGUGAGGGACGACGGCCUUCGGGUUGUAAACCUCUUUUAGCAGGGAAGAAGCGAAAAUGACGGUACCUGCAGAAAAAGCGCCGGCUAACUACGUG